UUUAACCAAUCCGAUUUUUCUUGUAGCUUGGCCUGUUUCUGCAUUUGUUUCAGUAGGUCCCAUGUGACUUCUUUUUGUUCCAGGUCUUCCUGUGCUAGCAUAAUCUGGUCUGAUUGGACUCUUUCCUCUUCAACUGCUGCUUUUCUG
This is a long non-coding RNA of Bufo bufo (common toad), 147 nucleotides long. RefSeq lists it as uncharacterized. The transcript is spliced from 4 exons. NCBI's taxonomy places the organism in Eukaryota, Metazoa, Chordata, Amphibia, Anura, Bufonidae. The record is from RefSeq and is a predicted model, not a curated record.